This is a long non-coding RNA of Tripterygium wilfordii, 140 nucleotides long. RefSeq lists it as uncharacterized. NCBI's taxonomy places the organism in Eukaryota, Viridiplantae, Streptophyta, Magnoliopsida, Celastrales, Celastraceae. The transcript is spliced from 3 exons. The record is from RefSeq and is a predicted model, not a curated record.
CAAGAAUAGAGACUAGGGCCAUGCUCAAGAAUGUUCUUGAAGGGAAAUUGAAGAUUUGUGUUUACGAAGGUAUAUGAGCUGCUGGAAUUUUUGUUGAAGUUGGAAAUUUGGUGGAAAUACACACGGUGAAUCAGGUGAAU